UGCAAACUUUUCUUUGAGGCUGUCCU
This 26-nucleotide non-coding RNA is filed under the name Rattus norvegicus (Norway rat). Lineage: Eukaryota; Metazoa; Chordata; Mammalia; Rodentia; Muridae. The record is from RNAcentral.